RNAcentral lists this ribosomal RNA (482 nucleotides) under uncultured bacterium. RNAcentral describes it as "bacterial SSU rRNA". It matches the Rfam family "Bacterial small subunit ribosomal RNA", at positions 28 to 507 of the family's 1533-position model. The record is from RNAcentral.
GACGAACGCUGGCGGCAUGCUUAACACAUGCAAGUCGAACGAGAAUCUAUGGAUCGAGGAUUCGUCCAAGUGAAGUAGAGGACAGUGGCGGACGGGUGAGUAACGCGUGAGGAACCUGCCUUUCAGAGGGGGACAACAGUUGGAAACGACUGCUAAUACCGCAUAAUGUUAUCGGAUGGCAUCAUCUGAUAACCAAAGCUUUAUGUGCUGAAAGAUGGCCUCGCGUCUGAUUAGCUAGUUGGUGGGGUAACGGCCCACCAAGGCGACGAUCAGUAGCCGGUCUGAGAGGAUGAACGGCCACAUUGGGACUGAGAUACGGCCCAGACUCCUACGGGAGGCAGCAGUGGGGAAUAUUGGGCAAUGGGGGAAACCCUGACCCAGCAACGCCGCGUGAAGGAAGAAGGCCUUCGGGUUGUAAACUUCUUUUACCAGGGACGAAGAACGUGACGGUACCUGGAGAAAAAGCAACGGCUAACUACGUG